UACCAGUCCGCUCCGAGCCCCGGCCGCCUGUCCGUCGAUGCACCGAAAAGAGCACCUGGGUGCUGUGGAAGGUCCCCAGGCUACAGGGUGCAGAGAUGUCCACUGGGCACAUGCUGACAGAUCCUUCAAAAAAUGGUACUUAAAGAAGAUUAGAUCAACAUUUCUGGGAAAAGCAUCUCUUUUGCCUUCUCAUUGGUUCAGUAAACCCAGUUAAAGGCAAAGUUUGCAGCCCUCAGAGCCUGCCAUGGGAUUCCUGUAUCAUUAGAUAUUGUUAACAUUAGCACUUCUAGAGUGUUAUUUCACAGACAUGGUUUCAAUGUCCAGAACCAAAAGGUGGAGAAAUGGUGUCAGAUAACCUUAGAGAGGAUCAUUUUCUUGGUAAUCUCUCCUUUCUUAAAAUAAACUAUAUAUUGCUGACAAUGUGAAACUUGUGACUAACCUUCAGUAGAUAUGUUGAUUUUGCUUUUAAAAUAAAAACCAAGGAUGCUUAGAAGUAGUCAUAAGAGGAAAUAUUUUGAAAAUGAAUGACCUAAAAUAAUCAAUGGAUAUGUAUAACCUUUAUAUUUUAAAAUGACAAUCACU
RNAcentral lists this small RNA (582 nucleotides) under Pongo abelii (Sumatran orangutan). RNAcentral's name for it is "processed transcript". The record is from RNAcentral. Lineage: Eukaryota; Metazoa; Chordata; Mammalia; Primates; Hominidae.